This 550-nucleotide long non-coding RNA is filed under the name Vigna radiata. RNAcentral's name for it is "long non-coding RNA (VRAD_LNC007956)". Lineage: Eukaryota; Viridiplantae; Streptophyta; Magnoliopsida; Fabales; Fabaceae. The record is from RNAcentral.
UGAAAUUUUGAGACAAAUUUGUCACAUUAUUUGAGUUAAUGUAUUAAAGACAAUAAUAUAUAGGGUUAAGUAUGCUUUUAGUCCCUUAAGUAUCAUUGAUUUUUGGUUUUAGUCCCUACUCAAAACAUUGAUGGCAUUUGAUCCUCUUAUUUCUGAAAUUAUUACAAUUAGUCCUUAAAAUUAGACGGUGUUAAAUUUUUGUAUGAUGUCACUAACGGUGAACCAGGUGUGUGCCACGUUUUUUUUUUCUGAAAUUUUUUCCACGUUUUUUCCAAACCCUUCCUUCAUCACAAUCUCCAGCAGACACCCCAACCUCCUCCACCAUCUUCUCCCCAGCCGCCGCCAACUUCAUGCUCGCCGGCCACCACGCGCCACCGUUCAUCAUUACCAUCCCGCCAAUGCCUUUUCUCGCUCACCGCCGACAUCCUUUUCGCAUCGCAACAGCACCACCAUGGAAGCAUCUCCAUUCUCGCGUUCACCAUUAAACCCCAAUCACAAAACGCGAUCUCCUUCCUCGCAUCUUCACAAUCAUCUUCUUCCCAGAUACACC